CAGGGGGUAGCUUAACACUAAAGCACUCAGCUUACAAUUGAAAAAUGUCCAAUAGGAUGCCCCUGA
This 66-nucleotide transfer RNA is filed under the name Gonatodes albogularis (yellow-headed gecko). RNAcentral's name for it is "tRNA-Val". Lineage: Eukaryota; Metazoa; Chordata; Lepidosauria; Squamata; Sphaerodactylidae. The record is from RNAcentral.